RNAcentral lists this long non-coding RNA (260 nucleotides) under Callithrix jacchus (white-tufted-ear marmoset). Its description in RNAcentral is "lncRNA (ENSCJAG00000081225.1)". The record is from RNAcentral. Lineage: Eukaryota; Metazoa; Chordata; Mammalia; Primates; Cebidae.
AGAUAAGGAAAAUGAGAAACAACUGAUAUUAAAGGGCUUUACAUAGUGCCUCAAACAUAAUGAGGCCAAUGUACAAAGCUGAGAGAUAAAUAUUACUGAAGAAGCAAGUGGAAGAAGAACCUGGCAAAAGUGUUUCAAAAUGAGUACGCUACAAGAAUGUGGGAAAAGGUCAAGGAAAGAGAUGUAAUAUAAGAUAUAGAGCUCAAAAUUAAGGAAUGGCAUAAGAGGAAGAAAAAGAACUAGCAGAGGAAGAAAAGAAA